UCACCUGCACGCCUCUCUUGUUCUCCUUCUUUUUAUUUUCCUCUCUUCCUCUCUUCUAGUCCCGCACGCCAGUCCCCCUCCCCAUCUCUCACGCCCAGUUUUCCCUUCCCCCCUCCCUUCCUCUUCUAUUACACACACGCACAGUGAGCCCGUGAGAGAGAGAGAGAGAGCUGCCAUGGAGGAGAUCUAGCCAUGAGAAGAAGGAAAAUAAAUGAUGAUAUUCCUUUGGCUGCAGGUACUCCGAUCGUAGUUAAUGGUGUUGUAGAUGUGCAGUUGAGGUAUUAUAACUGAAGCUCGCCACGACGGUCAUAAUUGCGGGACUAUGGGUGUCCUCGAUUUUAUAGGUUUUGUUUAUGGUUUGUGUGUAGUUGGCUUGUGUCACUUGUUAUUGUAUAAACCAUUUCUGUUGUGUAAUUAUAUUGAGGAAAGACUUAAACAGAUAGAUGUUAAAUGGCUCUUGUUGUAAUUAAUUUAUGAUAGAUGUUUAAGAUGUGAUUUCCGCUAUUAAGUUUAUGUUUUCUGCUGCAUAGUAGAUAGAUAUUAAACUCUGAUUUACCAGGUACAGAUUAUGGGGUAUGUAUCAUAUGUAGGCUUUGCGACAUAUUGUCAUGCCAUUGUAAAGAUCCUUUUAUAUUUUAAAAGAUUAAUAUUUGUUAUUCUAUAAA
Long non-coding RNA from Alnus glutinosa, 665 nucleotides. RefSeq lists it as uncharacterized. The record is from RefSeq and is a predicted model, not a curated record. The transcript is spliced from 2 exons. Lineage: Eukaryota; Viridiplantae; Streptophyta; Magnoliopsida; Fagales; Betulaceae.